Molecule: unclassified non-coding RNA, 409 nt
Filed under: plant metagenome
Description: partial contains small subunit ribosomal RNA, internal transcribed spacer 1, and 5.8S ribosomal RNA
Rfam family: Group I catalytic intron (bases 2-215)
About the family: Group I catalytic introns are large self-splicing ribozymes. They catalyse their own excision from mRNA, tRNA and rRNA precursors in a wide range of organisms.
Source: RNAcentral
UUUCCGUAGGUCGCUAGAGUUCAGCCUACCAAAGCAAACCUUUCAAAACUGCUAGUCUCUCCCCGAGGCGACACGCUCAAUGUUGCGGAGAGGCCCUCUUUUCAGAGGGUAAUCCGCAGCCGGCCCCCUAAAGGCUGGUUCAGAGACUCAAUGAGUGUGGGUUUGGCCUUUUGGCCAGGCUUAAGAUAGAGCCCGUCCCUGUAGGCAACUGCGGGGGAUGAACGGAACCUGCGGAAGGAUCAUUAAAGAAUCGGUGACCCUCGCGGUCCCAUUCUCACCCUUUGUAUACCAAACUUCAGUUGCUUUGGCUGGCCUUCGCGGGCCGGCCAGAGGACUCAAACCCUUGAAUCUUUGCUGUCUGAGCACUAUAUAAUAGUUAAAACUUUCAACAACGGAUCUCUUGGUUCUG